RNAcentral lists this ribosomal RNA (477 nucleotides) under uncultured bacterium. Its description in RNAcentral is "partial 16S ribosomal RNA". It matches the Rfam family "Bacterial small subunit ribosomal RNA", at positions 28 to 507 of the family's 1533-position model. The record is from RNAcentral.
GAUGAACGCUGGCGGCGUGCCUAAUACAUGCAAGUCGAGCGAACGGACGAGAAGCUUGCUUUUCUGAUGUUAGCGGCGGACGGGUGAGUAACACGUGGAUAACCUACCUAUAAGACUGGGAUAACUUCGGGAAACCGGAGCUAAUACCGGAUAAUAUUUUGAACCGCAUGGUUCAAAAGUGAAAGACGGUCUUGCCGUCACUUAUAGCUGGAUCCGCGCUGCAUUAGCCAGUUGGUAGGGUAGCGGCUUACCAAGGCGACGACGGAUAGCCGGCCUGAGAGGGUGACCGGCCACAUUGGGACGGAGAUACGGCCCAGACUCCUACGGGAGGGAGCAGUGGGGAAUAUUGCACAAUGGUCGGAAGCCUGAUGCAGCAACGCCGCGUGCGGGAUGACGGCCUUCGGGUUGUAAACCGCUUUCGCCUGUGACGAAGCGUGAGUGACGGUAAUGUGUAAAGAAGCACCGGCUAACUACGUG